This 467-nucleotide ribosomal RNA is filed under the name uncultured bacterium. RNAcentral's name for it is "partial 16S ribosomal RNA". It matches the Rfam family "Bacterial small subunit ribosomal RNA", at positions 29 to 507 of the family's 1533-position model. The record is from RNAcentral.
AAUGAACGCUGGCGGUAUGCCUAACACAUGCAAGUCGAACGGCAGCACAGUGACAACUUGCUCUUACGGGCGGCGAGUGGCGGACGCGUGCCGAAUACAUCGGAAUCACCUUCUUCGUGGGGGGUAACGUCGGGAAACUUACGCGAACACAGCAUACGACCUACUUGUGAAAGCACGGGAUCGUAAGACCUUGCGCGAUUGGAUAAGCCGAUCUGGGCUUAGCUAGUUAGCAGGGUAAAGGCCUACAAAGGCGACGAUCCAUAGCUGGUCUGAGAGGAUGAUCAGCCACACUGGGACUGAGACACGGCCCAGACUCCUACGGGAUGCAGCAGUGGGGAAUAUUGGACAAUGGGCGAAGGCCUGAUCCAGCAAUGCCGCGUGAGUGAUGAAGGCCUGAGGGAUGUAAAGCUCGUUUACCCGGGAUGAUAAUGACAGUACCGGGAGAAUAAGCUCCGGCUAACUCCGUG